This 501-nucleotide ribosomal RNA is filed under the name uncultured Pseudomonadota bacterium. Its description in RNAcentral is "bacterial SSU rRNA". It matches the Rfam family "Bacterial small subunit ribosomal RNA", at positions 355 to 874 of the family's 1533-position model. The record is from RNAcentral. Lineage: Bacteria; Pseudomonadati; Pseudomonadota.
UGGGGAAUCUUGGACAAUGGGCGAAAGCCUGAUCCAGCCAUGCCGCGUGAGUGAAGAAGGCCUUAGGGUUGUAAUGCUCUUUUGCCCGGGAAGAUAAUGACGGUACCGGGAGAAUAAGCCCCGGCAAACUUCGUGCCAGCAGCCGCGGUAAUACGAAGGGGGCUAGCGUUGUUCGGAUUUACUGGGCGUAAAGCGCACGUAGGCGGAUUGUUAAGUCGGGGGUGAAAUCCUGGAGCUCAACUCCAGAAUUGCCUUCGAUACUGGCUUUCUAGAGGCUGGAAGAGGUUAGUGGAAUUCCCAGUGUAGAGGUGAAAUUCGUAGAUAUUGGGAAGAACACCAGUGGCGAAGGCGGCUAACUGGUCCAGAUCUGACGCUGAGGUGCGAAAGCGUGGGGAGCGAAACAGGAUUAGAUACCCUGGUAGUCCACGCCGUAAACUAUGGGUGCUAGCCGUCGGUGAGCUUGCUCAUCGGUGGCGCAGCUAACGCUUUAAGCACCCGCCU